This is a non-coding RNA of Taeniopygia guttata (zebra finch), 469 nucleotides long. The record is from RefSeq and is a predicted model, not a curated record. Lineage: Eukaryota; Metazoa; Chordata; Aves; Passeriformes; Estrildidae.
AAGAUCACUUCGUUCCAACUCCUGCUGCCAAGAGAAGGGACACCUUCCACUGGGCCAGAUUGUUCAGACUCCCAUCCCACCUGGCCUUGAACACUUCCAGAGAUGGGGAAUCCACAGCUUCUCUGGGAAACUUCUUCCAGUGCCUCACCACCUUCUGAGUAAAGCUGAACCAUUUAUCCAUGAGUGAUAAGCUUUAAAAGAAAGUCUCUCGACAGUAGAACUGGACAUCCUAGAAAUGCAAUAGGACCUUCAGAUGUCUUAGUGUCUGGCUGCUGCUGGAAAACAUUUUUUCAGCCAAAACACUGCAGUUUGUAGUAUGCAUGAUUUUAAUGUGAACACUCAGCAGUAAUCUCAUAUCCUUUCUGUUGGACAGUUUUGCUUUGGGUCAUCAAGUUCUGAAUGUUGCUGAGUUUUAUAGGGAUGUUUUCUCAGUCUUUAAAAUGAAUAAAAUGAGUCCUUUAAAACCCAA